GUCGCUGAAUUUUUUAUAUAACAAUCAAUGGUUUGAGAAUUAUCACGUAAGACGCAGGGGACUCAAAAUCCCCCGCCGCAAGGCGUGCCGGUUCGAUUCCGGCCCUGGGCACCA
Molecule: transfer RNA, 114 nt
Filed under: Burkholderia gladioli
Lineage: Bacteria; Pseudomonadati; Pseudomonadota; Betaproteobacteria; Burkholderiales; Burkholderiaceae
Description: tRNA-Leu
Source: RNAcentral